GGGGGUGUGGCGGAAUGGUAGACGCAACGGACUUAAAAUCCGUUGAGGGCAACCUCGUGCGAGUUCGAGUCUCGCCACCCCCA
RNAcentral lists this transfer RNA (83 nucleotides) under Coleofasciculaceae cyanobacterium SM2_1_6. Its description in RNAcentral is "tRNA-Leu". It matches the Rfam family "tRNA". Rfam says of the family: Transfer RNA (tRNA) molecules are approximately 80 nucleotides in length. Their secondary structure includes four short double-helical elements and three loops (D, anti-codon, and T loops). Further hydrogen bonds mediate the characteristic L-shaped molecular structure. tRNAs have two regions of fundamental functional importance: the anti-codon, which is responsible for specific mRNA codon recognition, and the 3' end, to which the tRNAs corresponding amino acid is attached (by aminoacyl-tRNA synthetases). tRNAs cope with the degeneracy of the genetic code in two manners: having more than one tRNA (with a specific anti-codon) for a particular amino acid; and 'wobble' base-pairing, i.e. permitting non-standard base-pairing at the 3rd anti-codon position. The record is from RNAcentral. RNAcentral also lists the same sequence under 1 other name. Lineage: Bacteria; Bacillati; Cyanobacteriota; Cyanophyceae; Coleofasciculales; Coleofasciculaceae.